CUUCAAAAACUAUAACCUACUGCAGGACAGGUGAGGCCAGGGAGGCGGACACCUCUGCCUCCAGGAGGCUACUCUGUGCCUCAAGAACCAAAGAACGAGGGGAGUUCGACCACUGCCUGUACAGAGCCCGAAUGCCCUCCCUGCUGCUGUUCUAAUGCAUGUCCCAUCUGCAAUGUUAGAAAACAAGCUUCAGCUUGAUACAGUGGAACUUGGCAGAUGGCACAGUUUGCUUGUUACAGAACUAAGUAUGAAAAUAAAUUCAUUUAGUAGUGCUCCUUGGAGAAAUGUGGUUCAGAAGUCAAAUAAUUUUAAAAGACCUCUUUCCCAUGUAAGACACCCAUGAAACAAUGCUCUGGUCAUAAUUAGUCUCUAACCUUUCAAAAUGCCUGCUUCAGUGACCUCACCUGCUAUUGAACACGAUGCCUGCAGAUGGUGUGAGGUGGCCAAAGGGUGGAGGACUGGCAGCGGGGGCUGCAGCGGCUGCUGUGACCAGCCACUCACUUGCUGAAGGAUCAGGGAGAGACACUGUGUCUCUCUGGGUCUCGGCUUCUUAACCUGUGAAACCCAGGGGUUGGGGAAAAGCUCGCCAAGCCCCCCUCCUGCUUUGGCAUCCUGUGAGUCUUUAUUGUCCUGGGCUAGCUGGGACCCCUAGGACACUGGGUGGCUCCUUCCACCCCACAUGAUCAUUCUGCUCAACAAGAACUUGCAGGAGCCACAGACCUGCCUCACAAACAUGAGGAAGCGCAUCCUUCUACAAAGCGAGAGGCUUGAGGUCAGUAUGCCAAUAGCAAGAAGACUUGUUCUUGAAAGGUUGAGUUUUUCAAAUGAGUCCUGAAAGAAUUCUACCACACUGCCUAUUUCCCAAGCAGGGAUCAUGGGAGAAAGGAAAUUUUGAAGAAAAUGGUUCUAAUGCCAUUUUGUUAAAAGUACUGAGAGAUUUACAAUGAUCAAGUAAUAUGCCAGUUCUUUCAAAGGAUGCCAACAUCUGAUGCCAACAUAAUUACAAGUUGGAAAAAUGUGUAAUGAAUCAGGCGGCUCAUAAUUUCCCUUAGAAUAUGUAUGCACAACUUAUUAAAUGACAUAAAAAGCAAAGAGUCACGG
Molecule: long non-coding RNA, 1101 nt
Filed under: Homo sapiens (human)
Lineage: Eukaryota; Metazoa; Chordata; Mammalia; Primates; Hominidae
Description: HSALNT0404061
Source: RNAcentral